RNAcentral lists this non-coding RNA (46 nucleotides) under Trichobilharzia regenti. The record is from RNAcentral. Lineage: Eukaryota; Metazoa; Platyhelminthes; Trematoda; Strigeidida; Schistosomatidae.
UUACUGCUGAAGAGUCCCAAACUAGGACGAGACAGCUGUCCAGUAC